RNAcentral lists this unclassified non-coding RNA (613 nucleotides) under Hevea brasiliensis (rubber tree). Lineage: Eukaryota; Viridiplantae; Streptophyta; Magnoliopsida; Malpighiales; Euphorbiaceae. The record is from RNAcentral.
UAGGUGAUGGUUUUGUUACAAUUACUAGAGGGGAAAGUAUCAGAAGGUUUUUUGAACAUGCCGAAGAGGCUGAGGAAGACGAGGAUGAUGAUUCCAUGGACAGGGAUGGAAAUGAGCUGGAUGGAGAAUGCUCCCGUCCCCAAAAGCAUGCGAAGAGUCCUGAACUUGCUCGAGAAUUUCUUCUAGAUGCUGCAACAGUUAUUUUCAAGGAGCAGGUUGAAAAGGCUUUCAGAGAAGGAACUGCACGCCAAAAUGCACAUAGCAUCUUUGUUUGUCUUGCAUUAAAACUGCUGGAAGAGCGAGUUCAUGUUGCAUGCAAAGAAAUUAUCACAUUGGAAAAGCAGAUGAAACUUCUUGAAGAAGAGGAAAAGGAAAAGCGUGAAGAAGAAGAACGCAAGGAGAGAAGAAGAGCUAAAGAAAGAGAGAAAAAGCUUCGAAGAAAGGAGAGGUUAAAGGGGAAGGAAAGGGAUAAAGAAAAGAAGUGCUCUGAAUCAAAUGAUUCUCUUGAAAUCUCAAAGGCUGAAACAUCAGCAAUCGCUGACGAGGAACCUAAUAAUGAUGUCAGCUGUAAGGAUUCAGUUAGUGAAACUGGUGACGUUUCAUUAUCCAGGCG